This 494-nucleotide ribosomal RNA is filed under the name uncultured bacterium. Its description in RNAcentral is "partial 16S ribosomal RNA". It matches the Rfam family "Bacterial small subunit ribosomal RNA", at positions 28 to 507 of the family's 1533-position model. The record is from RNAcentral.
GACGAACGCUGGCGGCGCGCUUAACACAUGCAAGUCGAACGGAAAGGCCUGCUUUCCCUUGUGGAUUGCGGGUACUCGCGUGGCGAACGGGUGAGUAACACGUGAGUGAUCUGCCCCCAACUUGGGUAUAAGCCUGGGAAACUGGGUCUAAUUCCCGAUAGGACUGCAGGGUGGUGCCUGUGGUGGAAAACGAUUUUCUAGUGGUUGGGGAUGAGCUCGCGGCCUAUCAGCUUGUUGGUGGGGUAAUGGCCUACCAAGGCGGCGACGGGUAGCCGGCCUGGGAGGGUGGACGGCCACAUUGGGACUGAGAUACGGCCCAGACUACUACGGGAGGCAGCAGUGGGGAAUAUUGCACAAUGGGCGGAAGCCUGAUGCAGCGACGCCGCGUGGGGGAUGACGGCCUUCGGGUUGUAAACUCCUUUCGACCGCGAGGAAGCCACCUGGUUGGAAGGGUGGUGACGGUAGUGGUAGAAGAAGCACCGGCUAACUACGUG